UCCCAAGUUCACCCCCUUGUUGGGGCGCCAGGCGGCUCCGAGAUAACCUUCGUCGGAGGAGCUGUGAGCGGCUUCCAGUUGCGUGAGGGAGUUGCCCCCAGUAAACCCGCCCAGAGGCUGCCAGAGCUGGAGGAGGACGCGGCAUUCGGGAACGAGCACGCACGCAGGCAGACUCCUCCAGGGGGCUGCGGUGAUAUCAGCAAAAGAAAGCUGGCUGGCUUUUGCGCAGGCAGCAUGCGGCCUUGAAUAAACCUUUAAGGUGCGGUUUGCAGCUUUGUGUUGGGCCCCGGAGGAAGAAAACAAGAUAUGAUCUUCCUGAUAGCAGCUGUUAUUAGUUUAUGUUGGAAAAGAAAGAAAAAAUUAAGACUCUUGUUCAGAGGUUAUAAUAAAUCAAUGUUGUUGGUGCCUAUAAGCUUUUCAGUUUUAGUUAAGGUAUCACCUAAAUCAUGUUAAUAUUGCUUAAAGCAGUGUUUUGGAUACAAAAUGAAUAUGACAAAUAUUUAUGUACUACUUUUCAACAAAAGUUCCUAAAGCAGUUUACACUGUUAUAAACAAAAUGUCUCCCUGUCCCCAAAGGACCCACAGUUUUAAAAAGACACAAGAUAGAUACCAGCAACAACCACUGGAAGGAUGCUGUGCUGGGGAUGGAUAGGGCCAGUUGCUCUCCCUCUGCUUAAUAAAUGAUAUUUUCUGUUGUUAAGGGAAUACCCUUGAAUCAACCCAGCCUGCAGCAAAAAAGGGAACUUGACAGAAAGCAGGUGGCCUGUGCAGCUUAAGGAUGGGAUUGCUGCUGAUUUGUUUGUACAGUCAAUCAGCGAGGAGUAUUUCUUAACACUGGCAACAGGAGCCUCUCUUGGAGUGCAGGUUGCAGAAGAGGGCUUACAGAAUUGUCAAGAGUCUGAUUUGGAUUUUUUGUCAGUAUAUUGGGCACUACUUUUAUAAGUGCAGGGUAUCUCCUUGGGGUGCUGAAGAAGUUGCAAUCAUGAAUGUUUUUAUAACCAGAGGAACACAUGCUGUCAGGCACAAAAUGACGCAGAGGGGAAGUAACUUGCCUAGCGGGCAAGAGGUUGCAGGGUUCGAAUCCCUGCCUGUAUGUUUCCCAGACUAUGGGAAACACCUGUAUCAGGCAGCAGCAAUAUAGGGAGAUGCUGAAAAGGCAUCAUCUCAUACUGCGCAGCAGGCGGCAAUGGUAAACCCCUCCUGUAUUCUACCAAAGAAAACCACAGGGCUCUGUGGUCGCCAGGAGUCGACACCAACUUGACAGCACAACUUUGGAGAGGAGAGCUGGUCUUGUGAUAGCAAGCAUGACCACUGUCCGAAACAGUUCUUAUGUGCACUCCCAGCUGACCAUUGUUUAGUUGCAAAGAUCAAGGGAGAAGAAGAGGAGAAUGAUCAGCUGGGAGCCAGGAGCUGGGUAGGACAGCUUUUCAUCCACCUUUGAUAAAAUGCUGGGGACAGUUUGUAGGUUGGCUGCCCCCAUCUUCCCCAGCUCCUGGCUCCCACAUGAUUACUCUCUCCUCCUCCUCCCUUUAUAUUUGCAAACACGCGUUUGCCAAUUGGAAGCACACACGAUUCUCCUACAGUAGCUAGGUGCUUCUCUGAACCUGUUUAGAAUCAUGAGAACAACAGCCCUAAUCUUUCCCAUGGCUGACCUCUCUGCUUCUUACUUAUCUUGCAGCCUCAGCGUUUCCUCUUGAAGCCAAGGUCAGACCCAGAGAAAGACUGAUAUACAAAGUUACACAUAGUCUCUAAUUAGAGGACUUUUCACACAGAUUUUUCAGCCAGAACAAUAAUGGGUAAUAGUCAAUAAAUCAACACUAGCCAAAGGCCCUUUUGACCGCCAAAAUGACAGAGUAUGGCUGUUGGUUUUGUGUAUCUCCAUUCUCCCUUUCUCUCCUUGCUGCUCCCCUCUUUCUCUGCAGUCCUGUUUCUUCCAGAGUUUUCUUACAAUUCCUUCAUCCAUUCUUAGGCACAUAGGAAGCUGCCAUAUACUGCCACGAAAUUUAGGACCGACAAGAGGAAGUACUUUUCCACACAAAGCAUAAUUAAGCUAUGGAAUUAUCUGCCACAGUAUAUGGUGACAGCCACCAGCCUGGAUGUCUUUAAGAAGGGCUUAUAUAAAUUAAUGGGGGACAAGUCUCUCAAUGGCUACUAGUUUGAGGACUAUAGGCCACCUCCAGCCUAAGAGGCAAGAUGCCUCUAAAUACCCGUUUCAGGAGAGCAACAGCAGGGCGCUUUCCAGAUUACACGCUGUUCAGCAGUCGUUUACUUCAGCUGGGCAGGAUCACCUUGAAACCAUUAGAAGGGUAUUGUGCAAAGCCACCAGCAGGGGCAGCAGUCUUUUCUAGCUGGUGUGAACCUCCUACAAUGGGAAAAUACAGCUACUUAUUUACAACAUUGUAGUACUGUAACACAAAGAUCAAACCUGAAAGGCGGCAUUGGAAAUGUGAAUGGCACCUUCUGAUAGUGCUGGGACUGCACUGUCGAAACACAGGCAGUACGGAAGUACACUUAACAGACACACAGUGACACUGUGGUAGGUGUAAUCUGGAAAGCUCCCAGGAGAGAGGGCAUGCCCUCAUCUCUUGCCUGUGUCUUCCCAGAGGCAUCUGAUGGGCCACUCUGCGAAACAGGAUGCUGGACUAGAUAUGCCUUGUGCCUGAUCCAGCAGGGCUGUUCUUAUGUUGUUAUGAAACCUUGGAGAAGCCACUGCCAGUCAGUGUAGAUAAUACUGGGCUAGAUGGUUCAAUGGUCUGACUCAGUAGAAGGCAGCUUCCUGUGUUGAUCUGCUACUGUGUGCAAGACAUUUUGAAGGGAUUAACAUUGUGCUGCUCAUCCUGGAGCAGAGAGGGACCAUUUUAAUUCUCCCAGCAGAAUGCAUCACCCUCCCAAAUACAGGAUCAUUUCGGAGCCUGUCUACACACUCUUUGGCCCUGAGAGUAUGAGAAUAAUGUGCAUUUCUUAAGAUCUGAUGAAUCCUUAACAUUUGUAAAUUUGUAAUAAUAAUAAUUUUUUUAAAAAAACACCCAACCCUAAGCAUCAAGCAUUUGCCUGCAAAGGUAACUGCAAAUUAAGUAUCUGAGGAUUUGCCAUGAUAAAUCUAAUAAAAUGCUGUUGCAAGAGAGAGCUCUUUGUUAGCAUGCAGGAGGAGGAGGAAUCUGAGGUAAUUUUAGGAUUAUCUCAUUUUUCUUUUAUUAGAACAGGCUUUUAAAAGUCAGAACCACCCUAUGAAUCCAACACUUGGUACACUACCAGGAUGUCUGCAUAUAGCCCACACAAAAUCAAUGUUGUGAUGUAAUAUGAAUGGAAUGGGAUGAAAUAGUCUAAUUCAAUAAAAUCACAAAGGCA
This is a long non-coding RNA of Hemicordylus capensis (graceful crag lizard), 3348 nucleotides long. RefSeq lists it as uncharacterized. The transcript has 2 exons. Lineage: Eukaryota; Metazoa; Chordata; Lepidosauria; Squamata; Cordylidae. The record is from RefSeq and is a predicted model, not a curated record.